AUGCACGCUGGCGGCGUGCCUAAUACAUGCCAGUCGAGCGAACGGACGAGAAGCUUGCUUCUCUGAUGUUAGCGGCGGACGGGUGAGUAACACGUGGAUAACCUACCUAUAAGACUGGGAUAACUUCGGGAAACCGGAGCUAAUACCGGAUGAUAUUUUGAACCGCAUGGUUCAAAAGUGAAAGACGGUCUUGCUGUCACUUAUAGAUGGAUCCGCGCUGCAUUAGCUAGUUGGUAAGGUAACGGCUUACCAAGGCAACGAUGCAUAGCCGACCUGAGAGGGUGAUCGGCCACACUGGAACUGAGACACGGUCCAGACUCCUACGGGAGGCAGCAGUAGGGAAUCUUCCGCAAUGGGCGAAAGCCUGACGGAGCAACGCCGCGUGAGUGAUGAAGGUCUUCGGAUCGUAAAACUCUGUUAUUAGGGAAGAACAUAUGUGUAAGUAACUGUGCACAUCUUGACGGUACCUAAUCAGAAAGCCACGGCUAACUACGCG
RNAcentral lists this ribosomal RNA (496 nucleotides) under uncultured bacterium. RNAcentral's name for it is "partial 16S ribosomal RNA". It matches the Rfam family "Bacterial small subunit ribosomal RNA", at positions 29 to 507 of the family's 1533-position model. The record is from RNAcentral.